Molecule: ribosomal RNA, 474 nt
Filed under: uncultured bacterium
Lineage: Bacteria
Description: bacterial SSU rRNA
Rfam family: Bacterial small subunit ribosomal RNA
Source: RNAcentral
CGCUAUCACUCCUACGGGGAGUCAGCAGUAGGGAAUCUUCCACAAUGGGCGCAAGCCUGAUGGAGCAACACCGCGUGAGUGAAGAAGGGUUUCGGCUCGUAAAGCUCUGUUGUUAAAGAAGAACACGUAUGAGAGUAACUGUUCAUACGUUGACGGUAUUUAACCAGAAAGUCACGGCUAACUACGUGCCAGCAGCCGCGGUAAUACGUAGGUGGCAAGCGUUAUCCGGAUUUAUUGGGCGUAAAGAGAGUGCAGGCGGUUUUCUAAGUCUGAUGUGAAAGCCUUCGGCUUAACCGGAGAAGUGCAUCGGAAACUGGAUAACUUGAGUGCAGAAGAGGGUAGUGGAACUCCAUGUGUAGCGGUGGAAUGCGUAGAUAUAUGGAAGAACACCAGUGGCGAAGGCGGCUACCUGGUCUGCAACUGACGCUGAGACUCGAAAGCAUGGGUAGCGAACAGGAUUAGAUACCCUGGUAG